Long non-coding RNA from Sycon ciliatum, 1399 nucleotides. RefSeq lists it as uncharacterized. Lineage: Eukaryota; Metazoa; Porifera; Calcarea; Leucosolenida; Sycettidae. The transcript is spliced from 2 exons. The record is from RefSeq and is a predicted model, not a curated record.
AUUGUAACAUUAUUUGUAUUACGACUAUGAUUUACGCAUGUCGUUGUAUUUGGUUCUUGUCUGGUGGAGUCCAGUGUCUGAUGUCAUAUAUGGUCUAGGUGUACGCGCGAGUAUGGUGUGAUGUGUGACGUUUAUGGUAUGUGGUGCAUGCAGGAGUACGCGUUGUCAGAGUGUGAGGAUGUGCUUCCGUCUGUGUGAGAGUGACUGUCAAGUGAAUGCAGUACAUGCGCAGUGCUAGUUUGGUCUGGGAAUGAGAGUCGUGUGUGAUUCGUCCGUGGUCUGGUUGUCUUGGUCUUGGUCAUGUGUUCUGUACGUAUUAGUCCCUGAUUGGUCGUCACGAUUUGUCCUCGGUUUAUUACUGCUUGUUCUUUGUUGAUCCUCGGAGUCUUUUCCCGGGAGUCUUUCCCGUCGUCGUUUUCUGUCUAGUCUUUUCGUCUCUCUCCUCCUGCGCCCUCGUCAUUUCUUGGUAUAAUAUAAGAGUAUUGAAGAUACAAUCAAGAGUUUGCGUUGUUGUGUGGCGAGGGCCAGGGGGAGAAGCAUUUCCGUUACAGUGGCGCCCAACGUGGAGACUGGCUCGAACCUGAUUCUACUUCUCCACAAGUAGUUUAUGCUCGCCGUGGUCCUUUCGUUUCUCCUUUCAGUUUUGUCGACGUGUGGCGACUUUAUUAUUUUUAUUUCGGCAAGCGGAACUGGUCGUUCAUCAGGCUGGUUCAACCUCGCGCUGCACUACAAGCAAGCCUCUUUCCCGCCGUACAAGCUUGCCAUACGGUCGUUCGUCAGGCUCACAACUACCCGACAACCAAGGGACCUACUGUUUCUUUUCUCUGAUGUUUGUCAUUUGUUCUGCCUGUUCUUUAUUUUCCCUGAGUCGAGAGUCGAGGUCGACUCUCCGCAAAGGAGAGGGCUAUGUAACAUUAUUUGUAUUACGACUAUGAUUUACGCAUGUCGUUGUAUUUGGUUCUUGUCUGGUGGAGUCCAGUGUCUGAUGUCAUAUAUGGUCUAGGUGUACGCGCGAGUAUGGUGUGAUGUGUGACGUUUAUGGUAUGUGGUGCAUGCAGGAGUACGCGUUGUCAGAGUGUGAGGAUGUGCUUCCGUCUGUGUGAGAGUGACUGUCAAGUGAAUGCAGUACAUGCGCAGUGCUAGUUUGGUCUGGGAAUGAGAGUCGUGUGUGAUUCGUCCGUGGUCUGGUUGUCUUGGUCUUGGUCAUGUGUUCUGUACGUAUUAGUCCCUGAUUGGUCGUCACGAUUUGUCCUCGGUUUAUUACUGCUUGUUCUUUGUUGAUCCUCGGAGUCUUUUCCCGGGAGUCUUUCCCGUCGUCGUUUUCUGUCUAGUCUUUUCGUCUCUCUCCUCCUGCGCCCUCGUCAUUUCUUGGUAUAAUAUAAGAGUAUUGAAGAUACAA